AGUCGAGCGGAUGAGAGGAGCUUGCUCCUCGAUUCAGCGGCGGACGGGUGAGUAAUGCCUAGGAAUCUGCCUGGUAGUGGGGGACAACGUUUCGAGAGGAACGCUAAUACCGCAUACGUCCUACGGGAGAAAGCAGGGGACCUUCGGGCCUUGCGCUAUCAGAUGAGCCUAGGUCGGAUUAGCUAGUUGGUGAGGUAAUGGCUCACCAAGGCGACGAUCCGUAACUGGUCUGAGAGGAUGAUCAGUCACACUGGAACUGAGACACGGUCCAGACUCCUACGGGAGGCAGCAGUGGGGAAUAUUGGACAAUGGGCGAAAGCCUGAUCCAGCCAUGCCGCGUGUGUGAAGAAGGUCUUCGGAUUGUAAAGCACUUUAAGUUGGGAGGAAGGGUUGUUUCCUAAUACGAAGCAAUUUUGACGUUACCGACAGAAUAAGCACCGGCUAACUCUGUGCCAGCAGCCGCGGUAAUACAGAGGGUGCAAGCGUUAAUCGGAAUUACUGGGCGUAAAGCGCGCGUAGGUGGUUUGUUAAGUUGAAUGUGAAAUCCCCGGGCUCAACCUGGGAACUGCAUCCAAAACUGGCAAGCUAGAGUAGGGUAGAGGGUGGUGGAAUUUCCUGUGUAGCGGUGAAAUGCGUAGAUAUAGGAAGGAACACCAGUGGCGAAGGCGACCACCUGGACUCAUACUGACACUGAGGUGCGAAAGCGUGGGGAGCAAACAGGAUUAGAUACCCUGGUAGUCCACGCCGUAAACGAUGUCAACUAGCCGUUGGGAGUCUUGAACUCUUAGUGGCGCAGCUAACGCAUUAAGUUGACCGCCUGGGGAGUACGGCCGCAAGGUUAAAACUCAAAUGAAUUGAC
RNAcentral lists this ribosomal RNA (859 nucleotides) under uncultured bacterium. RNAcentral describes it as "bacterial SSU rRNA". It matches the Rfam family "Bacterial small subunit ribosomal RNA", at positions 60 to 914 of the family's 1533-position model. The record is from RNAcentral.